Molecule: transfer-messenger RNA, 373 nt
Filed under: Saprospiraceae
Lineage: Bacteria; Pseudomonadati; Bacteroidota; Saprospiria; Saprospirales
Also listed under: 1 other name
Description: JACJYM01 sp020636155 Standard tmRNA
Rfam family: transfer-messenger RNA
About the family: Bacterial tmRNA, also known as 10Sa RNA or SsrA, is named for its dual tRNA and mRNA-like properties. Its role is to liberate the mRNA from a stalled ribosome.
Source: RNAcentral
GGGACUGACUGGUAUCGACAGGAAAGAAUACUGGUAAGUAAGCAUGUCGGAGCAAGAUUGUUCACUCCGUUAAAAAAUGAUAAUCGAACAAUAAUUGGCGAAAGAAACUUCGCAUUGGCUGCCUAAUCAAGGAUUAGACACCUUUUAUGCCGCUCGGUUGACGUCCGAUACAGACCGAUAGCCGCAUAUUAACAAACCCUCGGGCUAGAUGAUGUGAGAGUUCCGGCACGGAUUCGAAAUUUAAGGAACUAAGAUGAGGAUAUCGCGGUGCUUAUGCCUGUCCGAUUCUGACAAUCUGGAAUAAGUGCUAAACAUGUAGAAAGCUUAUGAGUGCUUUGUCUGGACCGGGGUUCGACUCCCCGCAGUUCCACUU